This 73-nucleotide transfer RNA is filed under the name Podarcis lilfordi (Lilford's wall lizard). RNAcentral describes it as "tRNA.Lys". It matches the Rfam family "tRNA". Rfam says of the family: Transfer RNA (tRNA) molecules are approximately 80 nucleotides in length. The record is from RNAcentral. Lineage: Eukaryota; Metazoa; Chordata; Lepidosauria; Squamata; Lacertidae.
UCAAAUAGCUCAGUUGGUAGAGCGUGAAACUCUUAAUCUCAGGUUUGUGAGUUCAAGCCCCACAUUGGGUGAA